RNAcentral lists this ribosomal RNA (468 nucleotides) under uncultured bacterium. RNAcentral describes it as "partial 16S ribosomal RNA". It matches the Rfam family "Bacterial small subunit ribosomal RNA", at positions 28 to 507 of the family's 1533-position model. The record is from RNAcentral.
GACGAACGCUGGCGGCGUGCUUAACACAUGCAAGUCGAACGGAAAGGCCCUGCUUUUGUGGGGUGCUCGAGUGGCGAACGGGUGAGUAACACGUGAGUAACCUGCCCUUGACUUUGGGAUAACUUCAGGAAACUGGGGCUAAUACCGGAUAGGAGCUCCUGCUGCAUGGUGGGGGUUGGAAAGUUUCGGCGGUUGGGGAUGGACUCGCGGCUUAUCAGCUUGUUGGUGGGGUAGUGGCUUACCAAGGCUUUGACGGGUAGCCGGCCUGAGAGGGUGACCGGCCAGAUGGGGACUGAGAUACGGACCAGAGUCCUACGGGAGGCAGCAGUGGGGAAUAGUGCACAAUGGGCGGAAGCCUGAUGCAGCAACGCCGCGGGCGGGAUGACGGCCUUCGGGUUGUAAACCGCUUUCGCCUGUGACGAAGCGUGAGUGACGGUAAUGGGUAAAGAAGCACCGGCUAACUACGUG